This 348-nucleotide unclassified non-coding RNA is filed under the name soil metagenome. RNAcentral's name for it is "partial contains 5.8S ribosomal RNA, internal transcribed spacer 2, and large subunit ribosomal RNA". The stretch from base 1 to 121 matches the Rfam family "5.8S ribosomal RNA", at positions 35 to 154 of the family's 154-position model. The record is from RNAcentral.
GAUGAAGAACGUAGUGAAAUGCGAUAAGUAAUGCGAAUUGCAGAAUUUCCGUGAGUCAUCGAAUCUUUGAACGCACAUUGCGCCCAUUGGCAUUCCGAUGGGCAUGCCUGUUCGAGCGUCAUUAUCCUCCCUCAAACCCCUGGGUUUGGUGUUGGACUGUGUGGUGCCUGGCACCACUGGUCUCAAAGACAAUGACGGCGUCCGUGGGACCCUCGGUGCAACGAGCUUUUCGAAGCACGCGUCGAGUGGACAGUCUCUCCGGGCCGGUCACCUCUCCAAUUUUUCUCAGGUUGACCUCGGAUCAGGUAGGAAUACCCGCUGAACUUAAGCAUAUCAAUAAGCGGAGGA